CGCCCCUUGAAAAGGUUAAAUUACUAAUAAAUAAGGGGUACUGCCUGCCCAGUGACGUAGAAGUUAAACGGCCGCGGUAUUUUGACCGUGCAAAGGUAGCAUAAUCAUUUGCCUUUUAAAUGGAGGCUGGAAUGAAUGGCAAGACGGAAAUUUGACUGUCUCUUUCCUAAUUCCUCUGAAAUUAAUAUUCUAGUGAAGAAGCUAGAAUUUAAUCGUGGGACGAGAAGACCCUGUUGAGCUUUAGUGGCUAGGAUUAUCAUAAUUUUUUUGUUAGGAGCUAAUUUAAAGUGUUAGACCACUUGUUAUUAAAUUUACUUAAAAUAAAAAAAGUGUUGUAUUUUAUUCUACUUUGGUUGGGGCAACCGCGGAGAACAAAGACCCUCCGCUUUAAGAAGUAUAAAAGUACAGUUUUUACUAAUAAAGUUUUUGUAAAAAUGAUCCACUGUAAAGUGAUCAAAGGAAUAAGUUACCACAGGGAUAACAGCGUAAUUUUUUUGGAGAGUUCAUAUUGAUAAAAAAGUUUGCGACCUCGAUGUUGGAUCGAGACUUCCUGGAGGUGUAGAAGCUUCCAAGGGUUGGUCUGUUCGACCAUUAAAGUC
RNAcentral lists this ribosomal RNA (599 nucleotides) under Luidia barbadensis. Its description in RNAcentral is "partial large subunit ribosomal RNA". It matches the Rfam family "Bacterial large subunit ribosomal RNA", at positions 1816 to 2595 of the family's 2925-position model. Lineage: Eukaryota; Metazoa; Echinodermata; Asteroidea; Paxillosida; Luidiidae. The record is from RNAcentral.